AACGAACGCUGGCGGCAGGCUUAACACAUGCAAGUCGAACGCGUGUAGCAAUACACGAGUGGCGCACGGGUGAGUAACGCGUGGAUAUCUGCCUUUUGGUUCGGAAUAACCCCGGGAAACUGGGGCUAAUACCGGAUGGUUCCUUCGGGAUAAAGAUUUAUCGCCAAAAGAUGAGUCCGCGUACGAUUAGCUAGUUGGUGAGGUAAUGGCUCACCAAGGCGACGAUCGUUAGCUGGUCGAGAGGACGAUCAGCCACACUGGGACUGAGACACGGCCCAGACUCCUACGGGAGGCAGCAGUGGGGAAUAUUGGACAAUGGGGGCAACCCUGAUCCAGCCAUGCCGCGUGAGUGAUGAAGGCCUUC
Molecule: ribosomal RNA, 364 nt
Filed under: uncultured bacterium
Lineage: Bacteria
Description: bacterial SSU rRNA
Rfam family: Bacterial small subunit ribosomal RNA
Source: RNAcentral